Molecule: ribosomal RNA, 530 nt
Filed under: fungal sp. APA-2013
Lineage: Eukaryota; Fungi
Description: eukaryotic LSU rRNA
Rfam family: 5.8S ribosomal RNA (bases 147-300)
Source: RNAcentral
UUCCGUAGGUGACCUGCGGAGGAUCUUAGUGAUUGCCAUCUUGGCUUAAACUAUAUCCAUCUACACCUGUGAACCGUUUGAUUGAAUCUUCUGAUUCAAUUUUACAAACAUUGUGUAAUGAACGUCAUUAGAUCAUAACAAAAAAAAACUUUUAACAACGGAUCUCUUGGCUCUCGCAUCGAUGAAGAACGCAGCGAAAUGCGAUAAGUAAUGUGAAUUGCAGAAUUCAGUGAAUCAUCGAAUCUUUGAACGCAACUUGCGCUCUCUGGUAUUCCGGAGAGCAUGCCUGUUUGAGUGUCAUGAAAUCUCAACCAUUAGGGUUUCUUAAUGGCUUGGAUUUGGAGGUUGCCAUUCUAAAUGGCUCCUCUUAAAGGAGUUAGCAAGUUUUACUAUUGCUAUCUGGCGUAAUAAGUUUCGCUGGAAUGGUAUUGUGAAGCGUGCUUCUAAUCGUCUUCGGACAAUUACUUUGACUCUGGCCUCAAAUCAGGUAGGACUACCCGCUGAACUUAAGCAUAUCAAUAAGCGGAGGA